UAGGGAAUCUUCGGCAAUGGGGGGAACCCUGACCGAGCAACGCCGCGUGAGUGAAGAAUGUUUUCGGAUCGUAAAGCUCUGUUGUUAAGGAAGAACGAGUGUGAGAAUGGAAAGUUCAUGCUGUGACGGUACUUAACCAGAAAGGGACGGCUAACUACGUUCCAGCAGCCGCGGUAAUACGUAGGUCCCGAGCGUUGUCCGGAUUUAUUGGGCGUAAAGCGAGCGCAGGCGGUUAGAAAAGUCUGAAGUGAAAGGCAGUGGCUCAACCAUUGUAGGCUUUAGAAGCUGUUUAAAUUGAGUGCAGAAGGGGAGAGUGGAAUUCCAGGUGUUGCGGUGAAAUGCGUAGAUAUAUGGAGGAACACCGGUGGCGAAAGCGGCUCUCUGGUCUGUAACUGACGAUGAGGCUCGAAAGCAUGGGGAGCGAACAGG
Molecule: ribosomal RNA, 429 nt
Filed under: Verrucomicrobiota bacterium
Lineage: Bacteria; Pseudomonadati; Verrucomicrobiota
Description: Verrucomicrobia bacterium partial 16S ribosomal RNA
Rfam family: Bacterial small subunit ribosomal RNA
Source: RNAcentral